RNAcentral lists this long non-coding RNA (1642 nucleotides) under Marmota monax (woodchuck). Lineage: Eukaryota; Metazoa; Chordata; Mammalia; Rodentia; Sciuridae. The record is from RNAcentral.
GUGACNUUGGGGGACUUUUUUGGCUCCGCCCACGUGACCCAGCCAAUCGGCCUCAAGAGCAGGAGGAUUGUGGGAGGUGGAGAGAAGCUUGUGUGGGAGAGAGAGGCUUGGGGAAAGCCACAGCCGAAGGGGCCCCAGCAAACUUCCAGCUGCCAGCAAACUUCCAGCUGCCGGCUGACGAUUGGCUCACAGCACUCCUACUCUCUUGAUCUCUUCGCCACCAUGUGAGGAUACAGGAAGAAAUCUAAAGUCUGAAGCCUGGAAGAGAGUUGUAUAAACCAGCUUUGUAUUACUAUCAUAAAAUAACCAAGGCAGCUAACUUUAAAAAGAUAUAAGGUUUAUUUAGCUCACAGUUUUGGAUGUUUGGGACAUGGCUGUAGCAAUGGUUUUACUGAGGACCUCAUGGUGAAUGGCAGACAGUGGGUGGCAGUGGCAAGGGCACGUGGUGGGGCAAGUGGCCACAUUUCAACUAAGGAGUCGAGAGGGCUGGGUGGGGCCAAACUCAGACCUCAACCAAUGGGUCUUGAAAGAAUUACCUUGUGAGGGAACAUCCUCAAUGACCAAAGGACCUCCCUCUGCACCUCACUUUCCAAAGGUUCUACUCCCUCCCAGUAGCACCAACCAAUAGACCAUGCCUUCCUUUGCAAUUGAACCUUAGGGAUGGACACUGGAACCACAACAAAGCAAGGGCCUUUGCCAGAACACAACCAUGCUGGCACACUGAUCUCAACCUUCCAGCCUCCACAACCGUAAGAAAUAAAUUUCUGCUAUUUAUAAGCCUCCUGGUCUAUGGAAAUCUUAUAUAGCAGCCUGAACUGACAAAGACACUAUACACACACACACACACACACACACACAUUUAUAUAAAAUAAAAUUUGCCUUUUAUUUCUCUUUUUUAAAACUGCCUUGCUUUCUGAUUCUACUCUUGGGCUAGUGAGUAUCAUUGCAAAAAUUUUUGCAUCCUUGAGGCAACAUGCUAAAGCAUAUGCUCAGGUGAUCUCUUUUUAAUUCACAUAAUUAUUCAACGUUCAGUUAUUGUUGAACGUUUGCUAUCUGCUAGGUUUCCUGGCAGGUGGAGAUGAUCCCCAUUUUAUAGCAAAGGAAACAGAAUCUCUCUGAGACCCAGCAGCUCACCCCAAAUGCCCCUGCAGCGGUGGUGAGCCCAGCUCUCAGCCUGAUGUGUCCUCUGCACACUCUCUCUUCCCCAGCUUGGGCGGCUGCUCCUGUGCAGAGAAGCAAUGGGGAAAUCUCUUCUGACAAACAGGAAUCAACCUUGACCAGGGAAGGCCAACUAGCACAUUGCUUUACAAAGGGCAAAAUGGAAAUGAGCAAGGGGUAUGCCUAAACAAUCCACGUCUGAAGCUACUUUUAUAUUAACAUUUUCUCCCCCCCCCCACACCCCAAUGAUCUCAUUAGAAUACUGAAACCCAGGUGAGAGGAAAUAACUCUGUGAUCUUUUUCAAACAUUGUGCCACAAGAAGGAGACAAAAGAGAAUAGGAAAGGAAAUAAUGAAAAUCUGGUUAACCAUAAGAUCAACUUCUAAAUUCAUGAUAAGAUGAAAAAAAUUUUCCACUAAAAAUAGCUUUCUAGUUGGCUUUGAGGUUGUUGGUAUCAGUCUAAUGAAUAUUUGCCAAAAAAAAA